AACUCGCCUACAUGAAGCUGGAAUUGCUAGUAAUCAUAGGUCAGCAUACUAUGGUGAAUACGUUCCCGGGCCUUGUACACACCGCCCGUCACACCAUGAGAGUUGAGAAUACCCGAAGUCCAUGUUAAAGUGGCCGAAGAUAGGCUUGAUGAUUGGGGUGAAGUCGUAACAAGGUACC
This 178-nucleotide ribosomal RNA is filed under the name uncultured bacterium. RNAcentral describes it as "partial 16S ribosomal RNA". It matches the Rfam family "Bacterial small subunit ribosomal RNA", at positions 1309 to 1500 of the family's 1533-position model. The record is from RNAcentral.